This 433-nucleotide ribosomal RNA is filed under the name uncultured bacterium. RNAcentral describes it as "partial 16S ribosomal RNA". It matches the Rfam family "Bacterial small subunit ribosomal RNA", at positions 29 to 507 of the family's 1533-position model. The record is from RNAcentral.
AACGAACGCUGGCGGCAUGCCUAACACAUGCAAGUCGAACGAGACCUUCGGGUCUAGUGGCGCACGGGUGCGUAACGCGGGGGAACCUGCCCUUAGGUUCGGAAUAACUCCCCGAAAGGGGUGCUAAUACCGGAUAAUGUCUUCGGACCAAAGAUUUAUCGCCUUUGGAUGGGCCCGCGUUGGUUUAGCUAGUUGGUAGGGUAAAAGCCUACCAAGGCGACGAUCCAUAGCUGGUCUGAGAGGAUGAUCAGCCACACUGGGACUGAGACACGGCCCAGACUCCUACGGGAGGCAGCAGUGGGGAAUAUUGGACAAUGGGCGAAAGCCUGAUCCAGCAAUGCCGCGUGAGUGAUGAAGGCCUUAGGGUUGUAAAGCUCUUUUACCCGGGAUGAUAAUGACAGUACCGGGAGAAUAAGCUCCGGCUAACUCCGUG